Molecule: ribosomal RNA, 656 nt
Filed under: uncultured fungus
Lineage: Eukaryota; Fungi
Description: eukaryotic LSU rRNA
Rfam family: 5.8S ribosomal RNA (bases 238-391)
Source: RNAcentral
AGUAAAAGUCGUAACAAGGUUUCCGUAGGUGAACCUGCGGAAGGAUCAUUAACGAGUUUUGAAAGGGGUUGUCGCUGGCCUUUCACGAGGCAUGUGCACACCCUGCUCAUCCACUCUCAACCUCUGUGCACUUAUUGUAGGUCGGUGGAAGGCUCGCAAGAGCUGGAAGCCUGCUUAUGUUUUACUACAAACGCUUCAGUUAUAGAAUGUUUACUUGCGUAUAACGCAUUUAUAUACAACUUUCAGCAACGGAUCUCUUGGCUCUCGCAUCGAUGAAGAACGCAGCGAAAUGCGAUAAGUAAUGUGAAUUGCAGAAUUCAGUGAAUCAUCGAAUCUUUGAACGCACCUUGCGCUCCCUGGUAUUCCGGGGAGCACGCCCGUUUGAGUGUCAUGGUAUUCUCAACCUUCCUCACUUUUGUGACUGGAAGGCUUGGAUGUGGAGGUCGUGCGGGCUCUCGCGAGUCGGCUCCUCUGAAAUGCAUUAGCGUGAACGUUUACGGAUCGCUAUCAGUGUGAUAAUUAUCUGCGCUGUUAGUGUUGAAGUAUUGCUUAGUGUCGCGCUUCUAACCGUCCUUCAGUUGGACAACUUAUCUGACAUCUGGCCUCAAAUCGGGCGGGACUACCCGCUGAACUUAAGCAUAUCAAUAAGCGGAGGA